GCCGAAGUGGUGAAAUUGGUAGACACGCACGUUUCAGGGACGUGUGCAGCAAUGUGUGGGGGUUCGAGUCCCCCCUUCGGCA
RNAcentral lists this transfer RNA (82 nucleotides) under Neolewinella antarctica. RNAcentral describes it as "Lewinella antarctica tRNA-Leu". It matches the Rfam family "tRNA". From Rfam's summary of the family: Transfer RNA (tRNA) molecules are approximately 80 nucleotides in length. Lineage: Bacteria; Pseudomonadati; Bacteroidota; Saprospiria; Saprospirales; Lewinellaceae. The record is from RNAcentral.